UUUUAUGGAGAGUUUGAUCCUGGCUCAGGAUGAACGCUGGCGGCGUGCCUAAUACAUGCAAGUCGAGCGAACGGACGAGAAGCUUGCUUCUCUGAUGUUAGCGGCGGACGGGUGAGUAACACGUGGAUAACCUACCUAUAAGACUGGGAUAACUUCGGGAAACCGGAGCUAAUACCGGAUAAUGUUUUGAACCGCAUGGUUCAAAAGUGAAAGACGGUCUUGCUGUCACUUAUAGAUGGAUCCGCGCUGCAUUAGCUAGUUGGUAAGGUAACGGCUUACCAAGGCAACGAUGCAUAGCCGACCUGAGAGGGUGAUCGGCCACACUGGAACUGAGACACGGUCCAGACUCCUACGGGAGGCAGCAGUAGGGAAUCUUCCGCAAUGGGCGAAAGCCUGACGGAGCAACGCCGCGUGAGUGAUGAAGGUCUUCGGAUCGUAAAACUCUGUUAUUAGGGAAGAACAUAUGUGUAAGUAACUGUGCACAUCUUGACGGUACCUAAUCAGAAAGCCACGGCUAACUACGUGCCAGCAGCCGCGGUAAUACGUAGGUGGCAAGCGUUAUCCGGAAUUAUUGGGCGUAAAGCGCGCGUAGGCGGUUUUUUAAGUCUGAUGUGAAAGCCCACGGCUCAACCGUGGAGGGUCAUUGGAAACUGGAAAACUUGAGUGCAGAAGAGGAAAGUGGAAUUCCAUGUGUAGCGGUGAAAUGCGCAGAGAUAUGGAGGAACACCAGUGGCGAAGGCGACUUUCUGGUCUGUAACUGACGCUGAUGUGCGAAAGCGUGGGGAUCAAACAGGAUUAGAUACCCUGGUAGUCCACGCCGUAAACGAUGAGUGCUAAGUGUUAGGGGGUUUCCGCCCCUUAGUGCUGCAGCUAACGCAUUAAGCACUCCGCCUGGGGAGUACGACCGCAAGGUUGAAACUCAAAGGAAUUGACGGGGACCCGCACAAGCGGUGGAGCAUGUGGUUUAAUUCGAAGCAACGCGAAGAACCUUACCAAAUCUUGACAUCCUUUGACAACUCUAGAGAUAGAGCCUUCCCCUUCGGGGGACAAAGUGACAGGUGGUGCAUGGUUGUCGUCAGCUCGUGUCGUGAGAUGUUGGGUUAAGUCCCGCAACGAGCGCAACCCUUAAGCUUAGUUGCCAUCAUUAAGUUGGGCACUCUAAGUUGACUGCCGGUGACAAACCGGAGGAAGGUGGGGAUGACGUCAAAUCAUCAUGCCCCUUAUGAUUUGGGCUACACACGUGCUACAAUGGACAAUACAAAGGGCAGCGAAACCGCGAGGUCAAGCAAAUCCCAUAAAGUUGUUCUCAGUUCGGAUUGUAGUCUGCAACUCGACUACAUGAAGCUGGAAUCGCUAGUAAUCGUAGAUCAGCAUGCUACGGUGAAUACGUUCCCGGGUCUUGUACACACCGCCCGUCACACCACGAGAGUUUGUAACACCCGAAGCCGGUGGAGUAACCUUUUAGGAGCUAGCCGUCGAAGGUGGGACAAAUGAUUGGGGUGAAGUCGUAACAAGGUAGCCGUAUCGGAAGGUGCGGCUGGAUCACCUCCUUUCU
RNAcentral lists this ribosomal RNA (1555 nucleotides) under Staphylococcus argenteus. It matches the Rfam family "Bacterial small subunit ribosomal RNA". The record is from RNAcentral. Lineage: Bacteria; Bacillati; Bacillota; Bacilli; Caryophanales; Staphylococcaceae.